RNAcentral lists this ribosomal RNA (301 nucleotides) under uncultured bacterium. RNAcentral's name for it is "partial 16S ribosomal RNA". It matches the Rfam family "Bacterial small subunit ribosomal RNA", at positions 509 to 807 of the family's 1533-position model. The record is from RNAcentral.
CAGCAGCCGCGGUAAUACGAAGGGGGCUAGCGUUGUUCGGAUUUACUGGGCGUAAAGCGCACGUAGGCGGAUCGAUCAGUCAGGGGCGAAAUCCCAGAGCUCAACUCUGGAACUGCCUUUGAUACUGUCGAUCUGGAGUAUGGAAGAGGUGAGUGGAAUUCCGAGUGUAGAGGUGAAAUUCGUAGAUAUUCGGAGGAACACCAGUGGCGAAGGCGGCUUACUGGCUCAUUCUAGACGCUGAGGUGCGAAAGCGUGGGGAGCAAACAGGAUUAGAUACCCGUGUAGUCCCUGUCUCUUAUAC